AUGGAAGUGAGGAUUAUUUCCCCAGAUGAUCGAAACUGAACAAACUGAGCGAUUGAUUUCUCUUUUUAAGAGUAUAUCCAAAGCCUUUUUUCUGAUCCAU
RNAcentral lists this small nucleolar RNA (100 nucleotides) under Capsella rubella. Its description in RNAcentral is "Small nucleolar RNA Z103". It matches the Rfam family "Small nucleolar RNA Z103". Rfam says of the family: This family consists of several snoRNA Z103 sequences which are members of the C/D class of snoRNA which contain the C (UGAUGA) and D (CUGA) box motifs. This family seems to be found exclusively in plants. Lineage: Eukaryota; Viridiplantae; Streptophyta; Magnoliopsida; Brassicales; Brassicaceae. The record is from Rfam by way of RNAcentral.